CCCGCCGGCGACCGGCGCACGGGUGAGUAACACGUAUGAAACCUGCCCGUAGCAGGGGGAUAAGCGGAAGAAAUUCCGUCUAAUACCGCGUAACAACCCAUGGAGGCAUCUCUGUGGGUUUAAAGGAAGCGAUUCCGGCUACGGAUGGUCACGCGUCGCAUUAGCUUGUUGGCGGGGUAACGGCCCACCAAGGCGACGAUGCGUAGGGGUUCUGAGAGGAAGGUCCCCCACACUGGUACUGAGACACGGACCAGACUCCUACGGAAGGCAGCAG
Molecule: ribosomal RNA, 274 nt
Filed under: uncultured bacterium
Lineage: Bacteria
Description: partial 16S ribosomal RNA
Rfam family: Bacterial small subunit ribosomal RNA
Source: RNAcentral